RNAcentral lists this unclassified non-coding RNA (239 nucleotides) under Hevea brasiliensis (rubber tree). The record is from RNAcentral. Lineage: Eukaryota; Viridiplantae; Streptophyta; Magnoliopsida; Malpighiales; Euphorbiaceae.
GAUUAAUAUAGACUGAUCCAGGAAGAUUUGCUAGACUUGCAGGAACAGAACCAUUAAAAAGAUUGUGAGAUAGGUCAAGAGCUCCUUGCAAAUUCGACAAAUUGCCUAGGUCGCUGGGGAUAAAACCACUAAAGUUAUUAAAUGAAAGAUUCAGUUUCUGGAGCAUUACCAAAUUGGUUCCGAACCCAUCUGGUAGAAAGCCGGUGAAGCUGUUUUGACUAAGUAAAAUCUGCCGCAAU